This 928-nucleotide long non-coding RNA is filed under the name Salvia miltiorrhiza (redroot sage). Its description in RNAcentral is "long non-coding RNA (SMIL_LNC010390)". Lineage: Eukaryota; Viridiplantae; Streptophyta; Magnoliopsida; Lamiales; Lamiaceae. The record is from RNAcentral.
UUGAAUCUUAUCUUUUCUGUUCGAGGUUGGUGUUAUUUGGGCUGUUGAUGCCAUAGUUGAAUCUAUCUUAUUUAUGCCACCACUAGGGACUUAGUUUCCUAGUUUUGGAGGUUGAAUGAGGAUGAUGAAACUGUAAUUAAUUGGCCUAGAAAACAGUCAAUGAUGCAAAAUUGAUUGAAAUAUGCUGAGACUUUAGUUCCAAACAACAAUAAGGCUGAUUUGUGAUUUGCAAUUUGAUACUGCACUUGAAUCUUAUCUUUUCUGUUCGAGGUUGGUGUUAUUUGGGUUGGUGAUGUCAUGGUUGAAUCUAUCUUAUUUAUGCCACCACUAGGGAGUAAGUUUCCUAGUUUUGGAGGUUGAAAUAGGAUGAUGACACAGUAAUUAAUUGGCCUAUAAAACAGUCAAUGAUGCACAAAUGAUUGAAAUAUGCUGAGACUUUAGUGAUUGGUAUCAACAAUAAGGUUGAUUUACAUCCCAAACAACACAGAAACUUACCUAACCUUGUUUGGCUCUGUAAACCCUUAGACAAAAUAGAAUUAAAGAGAAGUUAGUCCCUCAGUUGAAUGUGUUGGAUUCCUUGCAGUAUAUGAUCAAUGUUGUAGCUUGUAACUUCUUCACUUCCCUGCAAACUUAGGUAAUCAAUGCACUCAUUUACAAGCUGCUCAUCCACUUCAAGGCAUUCUGGUAGUAAUCCUUGCCUAAUUAGUCCAUCUUUAUUCAUGUGUGGAAUCUUGUAGUUGUUGUUGCCCUUCACUUUCAUUAUUUCCUGGUAGCAGCUCUGCAGAGUUAGGAACACAUUGUUUAUCUUAGCUGCUGGGUACUCUUCAAACGCAUCUUGAACAUUCUUUAGCAAGCUCUCUACACCAUGAGCCAUCUUCUGAUCUUUAAGAGUUUGUAUAGCCCUAAAGAACCCUAGAUCAUUCACAUU